GGAAAUGAUGAUAUACUUUCUGGAAUCUCGUUCGUCUGAACUCCUGUUGAGAAAUGGAAAUCUGACUGCA
Molecule: small nucleolar RNA, 70 nt
Organism: Osmerus eperlanus (European smelt)
Lineage: Eukaryota; Metazoa; Chordata; Actinopteri; Osmeriformes; Osmeridae
Product: small nucleolar RNA SNORD30
Exons: 1
Source: RefSeq, a predicted model, not a curated record